CGAGCUAUAUCUCUCCGGCAGGGGUGUCAAACUCAAUUUCGCUAAGGGCCAGACUGGAAAAUGAGAAUCACAUCAAGAACCAGACAUGUACAGUUUAUAGACAUGUUUUUAUUGAA
Sander lucioperca (pikeperch) is the source of this 116-nucleotide long non-coding RNA. RefSeq lists it as uncharacterized. Lineage: Eukaryota; Metazoa; Chordata; Actinopteri; Perciformes; Percidae. The record is from RefSeq and is a predicted model, not a curated record. The transcript is spliced from 3 exons.